ACAACCGUGCGAGGCCAAGGCAGCCAGCUAGGCCACAACCAAGGCAGCCAAGAUUGACCUUCACUAGGUAUUCUCAUCAGUUUUGCUGCCUGGCAAAAAAAGACUCCCUGCUUGUACCAACUCGCUACGAGAAGGACUGCCUCCAGCGAGCAGGGCUGGGUGCAGCUCGCCCGAGCUUCCAUUGUGACCCAUCCAGCUCGGCUCACUUCCAGGAAGUACUUCUCUCAACCUACCCCAAGUUAAGGGAUGGGGGGGGUUGAGCUGCUAAAGAUAAGGGGAAGUACAAGAAACCGCCAGUUGACUCCUUUACCUUGUCCCAACACGGGGUACACAGUCAACUAUCUCAGAGAUCCAAGCCUGGGAAUCAACACAACAACCAUCUAUAUUCGCCCUCUCCAGCGCAACUUGAACAUGGAGCAGGAAGUGAUGUGAGGGCUGACAAUGGACCUCAGACUAGAUGUAUUUUCUGUGGAGUUUCCAUUUACAGAAAUACGGCAGCACAAUGUGGCUU
Thalassophryne amazonica is the source of this 511-nucleotide long non-coding RNA. RefSeq lists it as uncharacterized. NCBI's taxonomy places the organism in Eukaryota, Metazoa, Chordata, Actinopteri, Batrachoidiformes, Batrachoididae. The record is from RefSeq and is a predicted model, not a curated record. The transcript is spliced from 3 exons.